CCUACGGGAGGCUGCAGUGAGGAAUAUUGGUCAAUGGGCGGAAGCCUGAACCAGCCAAGUAGCGUGCGGGAUGAAGGCCCUACGGGUCGUAAACCGCUUUUGCACGGGGAUAACACCCUCCACUUGUGGAGGUCUGCAGGUACCGUGCGAAUAAGGGCCGGCUAAUUCCGUGCCAGCAGCCGCGGUAAUACGGAAGGCCCGAGCGUUAUCCGGAUUCAUUGGGCUUAAAGGGAGCGUAGGCGGGCGCUCAAGUCAGCUGUAAAAUCGCGCGGCUCAACCGCGCCCCGCAGUUGAAACUGGACGCAUUGAGUUCACAACAGGCAGGCGGAAUUCGUGGUGUAGCGGUGAAAUGCAUAGAUAUCACGAGGAACCCCGAUUGCGAAGGCAGCCUGCCGGGGUGCGACUGACGCUGAGGCUCGAAGGUGCGGGUAUCAAACAGGAUUAGAUACCCGAGUAGUC
RNAcentral lists this ribosomal RNA (459 nucleotides) under uncultured bacterium. RNAcentral's name for it is "partial 16S ribosomal RNA". It matches the Rfam family "Bacterial small subunit ribosomal RNA", at positions 338 to 795 of the family's 1533-position model. The record is from RNAcentral.